RNAcentral lists this microRNA precursor (57 nucleotides) under Nannospalax galili (Upper Galilee mountains blind mole rat). Its description in RNAcentral is "miRNA (ENSNGAG00000002253.1)". The record is from RNAcentral. Lineage: Eukaryota; Metazoa; Chordata; Mammalia; Rodentia; Spalacidae.
UAUGUAUGUGUACAUGUCCAUGUGUGUCUAUGUGUGUGCACAUGUACAUGUACAUAC